This 490-nucleotide ribosomal RNA is filed under the name uncultured bacterium. RNAcentral describes it as "partial 16S ribosomal RNA". It matches the Rfam family "Bacterial small subunit ribosomal RNA", at positions 28 to 507 of the family's 1533-position model. The record is from RNAcentral.
GAUGAACGCUAGCUACAGGCUUAACACAUGCAAGUCGAGGGGCAGCGGGAUUGAAGUGUGCUUCAAUUGCCGGCGACCGGCGCACGGGUGAGUAACGCGUAUCCAACCUUCCGUACACUCAGGGAUAGCCUUUCGAAAGAAAGAUUAAUACCUGAUGGUAUGAUGAGAUUGCAUGAUAUCAUCAUUAAAGAUUUAUCGGUGUACGAUGGGGAUGCGUUCCAUUAGGUAGUAGGCGGGGUAACGGCCCACCUAGCCAACGAUGGCUAGGGGUUCUGAGGGGGAGGGCCCUCACAGUGGAACCGAGACACGGUCCAAACACAUACGGGCGGCAGCAGUGAGGAAUAUUGGUGAAUGGACGAGAGUCUGAACCAGCCAAGUAGCGUGAAGGAUGAAGGUCCUACGGAUUGUAAACUUCUUUUAUAAGGGAAUAAACCCUCCCACGUGUGGGAGCUUGUAUGUACCUUAUGAAUAAGCACCGGCUAACUACGUG